UGGGGAAUAUUGCACAAUGGGCGCAAGCCUGAUGCAGCCAUGCCGCGUGUGUGAAGAAGGCCUUCGGGUUGUAAAGCACUUUCAGCGGGGAGGAAGGCGUUAAGGUUAAUAACCUUGGCGAUUGACGUUACCCGCAGAAGAAGCACCGGCUAACUCCGUGCCAGCAGCCGCGGUAAUACGGAGGGUGCAAGCGUUAAUCGGAAUUACUGGGCGUAAAGCGCACGCAGGCGGUCUGUCAAGUCGGAUGUGAAAUCCCCGGGCUCAACCUGGGAACUGCAUUCGAAACUGGCAGGCUAGAGUCUUGUAGAGGGGGGUAGAAUUCCAGGGGUAGCGGUGAAAUGCGUAGAGAUCUGGAGGAAUACCGGUGGCGAAGGCGGCCCCCUGGACAAAGACUGACGCUCAGGUGCGAAAGCGUGGGGAGCAAACAGG
This 429-nucleotide ribosomal RNA is filed under the name Chloroflexota bacterium. RNAcentral describes it as "Chloroflexi bacterium partial 16S ribosomal RNA". It matches the Rfam family "Bacterial small subunit ribosomal RNA", at positions 355 to 776 of the family's 1533-position model. Lineage: Bacteria; Bacillati; Chloroflexota. The record is from RNAcentral.